Molecule: ribosomal RNA, 201 nt
Filed under: uncultured bacterium
Lineage: Bacteria
Description: partial 16S ribosomal RNA
Rfam family: Bacterial small subunit ribosomal RNA
Source: RNAcentral
GUAGUCUGCAACUCGACUACAUGAAGCUGGAAUCGCUAGUAAUCGCGAAUCAGAAUGUCGCGGUGAAUACGUUCCCGGGUCUUGUACACACCGCCCGUCACACCAUGGGAGCCGGAAACGCCCGAAGUCAGUGGCCCAACCGGAAGGAGGGAGCUGCUGAAGGCAGGGCUGGUAACUGGGGUGAAGUCGUAACAAGGUACC